AGAGGGAGGGUGAACAAGAGGGGAACGGAAGAGGAUGGAUUUUGCCUUUUCUGGUAGCUAGAGCGAACUAGAGAAGCUCUUUGUGUUGGAAGUGGUGCUGAGACAGAAACGAGGAGAGAGCGACUGAAAGGCUGGAAUGGUGUGAGAGCACAGAGAAGCAGACUCCUCCAGGGCUUUUCGUUGCUGUAGUAAGGGCCACACCUCCAGGACUGAACCAUGGAUGACGACUUUGAGUUGCGCAGGGAGCAGAGGAGACAGAAGAGAGAGGAGAUGCGGCUGGAAGCAGAAAGGAUGGCCUACCGCCGGACUGAAGAGGAUGAGGAAGAGGCAGCUCGUGAGCGUCGGCGAAGAGCACGCCAAGAACGUAUUCGAUACAAGGAUGGCGAGGAGGUAGCUAACCCAGCUGAGAGCGUGGGGCUGAACAGCCACAGUGUCACAGUAACAGAGACAGUGUCGAGCUCCGAGAUGAGCUCGGGCAGGGCCGGUGAGGGAGAUGAUGAUGAGCUGGCCCUGCUUGACCGUCUGGCCAAGCGUGAGGAGCGCAGGCAGAGAAGGAUGAAGGAGGCAAUGGACAGACAGAAACAGCUGGAGUCCAUCGACGCUCCAUCCUACAGCUCCUACAGUGUGGAGAGUUCUUCUACCACCUCUUACCGAGCAUUCAACGACCAGGAGGAUGAGUCAGCACUCAAUAGCAAGGAGGAGGUGAAAGAGGACCUGAAGGAGGAGGUCAUUCCACAGAAGGAGGUGGUGGAGGAGAAGCCACGCAGGUCUUACUUGAGGGAGCAGGAAUCCACUGAGGAAAAAGCUAAAAUAGAAGAUGAGAUGGAGGAUGAGGACCCAGGGAGGAAGAGCAAGCAGCAGAACGGGGGAGUGUAUGAGGACAGCAAACACAAACAGGUGGAGAGAACUCAGAGCCGUGGCAGUGUGCACUCUUCCGAAGGUCCACCAGCAGAGGAAGGGGACGACGGGGAGCAAACACGCCUGGAGGCUGAAAGGAAGCUGGAGGAGCUGAAGAGGAGGAGAGACGAGACUGAGAGCGAGGAAUUUGAGAGAAUGAAACAGAAGCAACAGGAGGCCGAGGCCGAGCUGGAGGAGCUGAAGAGGAAGAGGGAGGAAAGGAGGAAGGUGCUAGAGGAAGAAGAGAGGCUGAAGAAGCAAGAGGAGGCUGAGCGGAAGGCAAGAGAGGAGGAGGAGAAGAGGAGAAUGAAGGAGGAGAUAGAGAGGAGGAGAGCGGAGGCAGCUGAACGGAGGCAGAAGGUCGAGGAAGAGGUAGACGGAGAAGCCAGCAAGCCCUUUAAAUGUGUUAGCCCCCGAGGAUCCUCUCUGAAGAUUGGUGAAAGGGCAGAAUUCCUCAACAGGUCAGCGCAGAAGAGUGCCGUGAAGGCAUCUCAGUCUCCCGUGGUGUCAAAGAUAGAUAACAGAUUGGAGCAGUACACCACGGCUGUGCAGAGUAAUAAAGAGGUGCGCUCACCACGCGUGGCUGCAAUCGACCUGCCUGUGGUUUCUGAUGGUGUGCGGAACAUUAAGAGCAUGUGGGAGAAGGGCAACGUUUUCAGUUCCACCAUCAGCACACCCUCCAGCAACAAGGAUGCAGCUGGAAUAAAGGUGGGCGUCGCAGGCCGCAUCAACGAUUGGUUGAAUAAAACACCAGAGAGCAAAACGCCAGGAGGAAGACCUGGGCUACAAGACCUGAAACCUGGCGAUGUUAGUGGCAAGCGCAAUCUAUGGGAAAACAAAAGCUCCUCUGCUACCAAGACUUCUUCCUGCUAGUUGUCUUCAGAUUUGGCUCCUUGAGGAGGUGACAAGCAGAGGAGAGAGCAAAUCUGUUGCCAAUGGAAUGGGUCACUAACCUUUCCAAGAAGCCGCAGCACCAGGGACCAAGUGAAAGCACCAUAUUCCUGUCACAUGCAUGUACUCAUACCAAAAAUACCAAAAAUAAUCUUUUAUGUUUUCUUUGGCUCCAGACCGCAUGGUCCUGAUUGCAGAAUAGUGUUUCAAAUGAAGCCACUUUUAUAGUGUGAAAUGUGGACAUUUAGAUCAACUGAAAAUACUGAGCAGUUCGAAAAUGACCCAUUUCCUUUAGCUGGAUUAGACAUAUUUAAAUACCGUGCAUAAUUUCACUCAUCAUUUUAAACAGCUUAUAAUGUGUUGCUUUUUUAGAAUCUCUUCUCUGCUAGUCACCCUUCACACCUUUUAAUUUAUAAUUAAAGCAAAGCUUGACAUAUUCAUAUUUUAUUCAUGUUCACCAGUCCAGGGCAAAAUAUGGGCACCCAUAGAGUAGUGUAUUUUUUACUUUUACUUUUUUUGGGGGGGUCAAAGUGACACAUUUUUAAUAGUGAAACUAUGGUCUUAAUAAUAUAUGUUAGCACAUAGUGUAUGUUUUGUAAUUAACUAUAUAUUUUGUAUGUUUCCACUUUAUAUAAACUGACAUUCCUGCUUCUGCUCUCAAUAUUAAGCUCGGAUUACAGCCAUUAUAGACAUUAAUGAUUAUUAUCACAGUAUCUUCUUUUCUUCAUUUUUGUUUCAAGUGCUUUUUAGCCAGUAUAUUCAACAUGAUGUAUCACAUUUCAAGUAGACAUAAACGCUUUGCUCUGCACUGAAUAAAGGGAACAUAAAAUGGAGAAAAAAAAAAGACUUUCACAAACAUUUCUCUGCAUAUAAUACUUGCUUGAGUUGCCAUUAUCAUUUUGAAAGUGUGUUCAGUAUGUAAAAGGACAGAUGGCUCUAAGCCAUUACUGUGGACCAAUUAACGUUGUCUGUUUGUUCUUUUUUUUCAUUCACCCUCCAGCACUUCAUUUAGAGUAGAACCCUGGAUAUUGUCAACAGUAUAAUUGGACUAUAGUAUGUGCUGGUGGACAGACAGUCAGUGGCUUUUUGAAUCAGCAGGUUUCACUGGUUAAUGUUUAUGUGACUGACGGUAGAUUGUGGCUUGUGUUGUGUUGUUGGGGUUAGUUUCCCCGAUUUAGUAUUUUGGUUCAUGUUUUAAAAUGUGAAAACGUCUGAGUUUUGGUCUUUGACAAUCAAUUAAGAGACAAAGUUAUACUCUGUAUAUUUUCCAUAAUGAACCUUGACUGUAUUGGGGUAAUUCUCUGCAAAUCAUGCCAACUUUAAUUCUUUACCUUUUAACACUCUGACCAUUUAUUGUAAUCAAGUUUCACACAGGACAUCUUUUAAAUAUUGUAUCAUUCUCUCAAAACAGCAAUAAAGAGAUCAAUGUAAAAAAAAAA
Molecule: RNA transcript, 3227 nt
Organism: Ictalurus furcatus (blue catfish)
Lineage: Eukaryota; Metazoa; Chordata; Actinopteri; Siluriformes; Ictaluridae
Gene: cald1a
Gene name: caldesmon 1a
Exons: 16
Source: RefSeq, a predicted model, not a curated record